This 1443-nucleotide ribosomal RNA is filed under the name uncultured organism. Its description in RNAcentral is "SSU rRNA". It matches the Rfam family "Bacterial small subunit ribosomal RNA". The record is from RNAcentral.
UACAGGCUUAACACAUGCAAGUCGAGGGGCAGCAUUUUAGUUUGCUUGCAAACUAAAGAUGGCGACCGGCGCACGGGUGAGUAACACGUAUCCAACCUGCCGAUAACUCGGGGAUAGCCUUUCGAAAGAAAGAUUAAUAUCCGAUAGUAUAUUAAAACCGCAUGGUUUUACUAUUAAAGAAUUUCGGUUAUCGAUGGGGAUGCGUUCCAUUAGUUUGUUGGCGGGGUAACGGCCCACCAAGACAACGAUGGAUAGGGGUUCUGAGAGGAAGGUCCCCCACAUUGGAACUGAGACACGGUCCAAACUCCUACGGGAGGCAGCAGUGAGGAAUAUUGGUCAAUGGACGAGAGUCUGAACCAGCCAAGUAGCGUGAAGGAUGACUGCCCUAUGGGUUGUAAACUUCUUUUAUAUGGGAAUAAAGUAUUCCACGUGUGGGAUUUUGUAUGUACCAUAUGAAUAAGGAUCGGCUAACUCCGUGCCAGCAGCCGCGGUAAUACGGAGGAUCCGAGCGUUAUCCGGAUUUAUUGGGUUUAAAGGGAGCGUAGGUGGAUUGUUAAGUCAGUUGUGAAAGUUUGCGGCUCAACCGUAAAAUUGCAGUUGAAACUGGCAGUCUUGAGUACAGUAGAGGUGGGCGGAAUUCGUGGUGUAGCGGUGAAAUGCUUAGAUAUCACGAAGAACUCCGAUUGCGAAGGCAGCUCACUAGACUGCAACUGACACUGAUGCUCGAAAGUGUGGGUAUCAAACAGGAUUAGAUACCCUGGUAGUCCACACAGUAAACGAUGAAUACUCGCUGUUUGCGAUAUACAGUAAGCGGCCAAGCGAAAGCAUUAAGUAUUCCACCUGGGGAGUACGCCGGCAACGGUGAAACUCAAAGGAAUUGACGGGGGCCCGCACAAGCGGAGGAACAUGUGGUUUAAUUCGAUGAUACGCGAGGAACCUUACCCGGGCUUAAAUUGCAUUUGAAUAAUCUGGAAACAGGUUAGCCGCAAGGCAAAUGUGAAGGUGCUGCAUGGUUGUCGUCAGCUCGUGCCGUGAGGUGUCGGCUUAAGUGCCAUAACGAGCGCAACCCUUAUCUUUAGUUACUAACAGGUCAUGCUGAGGACUCUAGAGAGACUGCCGUCGUAAGAUGUGAGGAAGGUGGGGAUGACGUCAAAUCAGCACGGCCCUUACGUCCGGGGCUACACACGUGUUACAAUGGGGGGUACAGAAGGCAGCUACCUGGCGACAGGAUGCUAAUCCCAAAAACCUCUCUCAGUUCGGAUCGAAGUCUGCAACCCGACUUCGUGAAGCUGGAUUCGCUAGUAAUCGCGCAUCAGCCAUGGCGCGGUGAAUACGUUCCCGGGCCUUGUACACACCGCCCGUCAAGCCAUGAAAGCCGGGGGUACCUGAAGUACGUAACCGCAAGGAGCGUCCUAGGGUAAAACUGGUAAUUGGGGCUAAGAC